AGUGGCGGACGGGUGAGUAACGCGUGAGAAUCUGCCUUGGGGUCGGGGACAACCACUGGAAACGGUGGCUAAUACCGGAUACGCCUUCGGGUAAAAGAUUUAUUGCCCUAAGAGGAGCUCGCGUCUGAUUAGCUAGUUGGUGAGGUAAAAGCUCACCAAGGCAGCGAUCAGUAGCUGGUCUGAGAGGACGAUCAGCCACACUGGGACUGAGACACGGCCCAGACUCCUACGGGAGGCAGCAGUGGGGAAUUUUCCGCAAUGGGCGAAAGCCUGACGGAGCAAGACCGCGUGAGGGAGGAAGGCUCUUGGGUUGUAAACCUCUUUUCUCAGGGAAGAAGCUCUGACGGUACCUGAGGAAUCAGCCUCGGCUAACUCCGUGCCAGCAGCCGCGGUAAUACGGAGGAGGCAAGCGUUAUCCGGAAUUAUUGGGCGUAAAGCGUCCGCAGGUGGCGAUUCAAGUCUGCUGUCAAAGCACGGGGCUUAACUCCGUAAAGGCAGUGGAAACUGAAUAGCUAGAGUGCCGUAGGGGUAGAGGGAAUUCCCGGUGUAGCGGUGAAAUGCGUAGAGAUCGGGAAGAACAUCGGUGGCGAAAGCGCUCUACUGGACGGCAACUGACACUCAGGGACGAAAGCUAGGGGAGCGAAUGGGAUUAGAUACCCC
This 660-nucleotide ribosomal RNA is filed under the name uncultured bacterium. RNAcentral's name for it is "bacterial SSU rRNA". It matches the Rfam family "Bacterial small subunit ribosomal RNA", at positions 94 to 788 of the family's 1533-position model. The record is from RNAcentral.